RNAcentral lists this ribosomal RNA (253 nucleotides) under uncultured bacterium. RNAcentral's name for it is "partial 16S ribosomal RNA". It matches the Rfam family "Bacterial small subunit ribosomal RNA", at positions 524 to 776 of the family's 1533-position model. The record is from RNAcentral.
UACGUAGGUGGCAAGCGUUGUCCGGAUUUAUUGGGUUUAAAGGGUGCGUAGGCGGCCCUGUAAGUCAGUGCUGAAAUAUCCCAGCUUAACUGGGAGGGUGGCAUUGAUACUGCGGGGCUAGAGUACAGAUGAGGUAGGCGGAAUUGACGGUGUAGCGGUGAAAUGCUUAGAUAUCGUCAAGAACACCUAUAGCGAAGGCAGCUUACUAGGCUGUAACUGACGCUGAGGUGCGAAAGCGUGGGGAGCAAACAGG